Molecule: ribosomal RNA, 435 nt
Filed under: uncultured bacterium
Lineage: Bacteria
Description: bacterial SSU rRNA
Rfam family: Bacterial small subunit ribosomal RNA
Source: RNAcentral
GGCGAACGGGUGCUUAACACGUGGGCAACUGCCAAGAAGUGGGGGAUAGCUCGCCGAAAGGCGAAUUAAUACCGCAUGUGAUCAGAGUGGACAUCUAUUCGAAAUCAAAGUCGGGGCAACCUGACGCUUCUUGAGGGGCCCGCGGCCUAUCAGCUAGUUGGUGAGGUAACGGCCCACCAAGGCUUAGACGGGUAGCUGGUCUGAGAGGACGACCAGCCACACUGGGACUGAGACACGGCCCAGACACCUACGGGUGGCAGCAGUCGAGAAUUUUUCUCAAUGGGGGAAACCCUGAAGGAGCGACGCCGCGUGGAGGAUGAAGGUCUUCGGAUUGUAAACUCCUGUCAUUGGGGAACAAUGCGUAAAUAUUAACUGUAUUUGCGUUGAUAGUACCCGAAGAGGAAGGGACGGCUAACUCUGUGCCAGCAGCCGCGG